RNAcentral lists this unclassified non-coding RNA (253 nucleotides) under uncultured Pirellulaceae bacterium. RNAcentral's name for it is "contains 16S-23S intergenic spacer region". It matches the Rfam family "Bacterial small subunit ribosomal RNA", at positions 524 to 776 of the family's 1533-position model. Lineage: Bacteria; Pseudomonadati; Planctomycetota; Planctomycetia; Pirellulales; Pirellulaceae. The record is from RNAcentral.
UACGAACCGUCCAAACGUUAUUCGGAUUUAUUGGGCUUAAAGGGUGCGUAGGCGGUGCGGUAAGUGAGGUGUGAAAGCCCUCGGCUUAACCGAGGAACUGCGCUUCAUACUGCCGUGCUAGAGGGAGACAGAGGUAAGCGGAACUGAUGGUGGAGCGGUGAAAUGCGUUGAUAUCAUCAGGAACACCAGUGGCGAAAGCGGCUUACUGGGUCUCUCCUGACGCUGAGGCACGAAAGCUAGGGUAGCGAACGGG